GAUGAACGCUGGCGGCGUGCCUAAUACAUGCAAGUCGAGCGAACGGACGAGAAGCUUGCUUCUCUGAUGUUAGCGGCGGACGGGUGAGCAACACGUGGAUAACCUACCUAUAAGACUGGGAUAACUUCGGGAAACCGGAGCUAAUACCGGAUGAUAUUUUGAACCGCAUGGUUCAAAAGUGAAAGACGGUCUUGCUGUCACUUAUAGAUGGAUCCGCGCUGCAUUAGCUAGUUGGUAAGGUAACGGCUUACCAAGGCAACGAUGCAUAGCCGACCUGAGAGGGUGAUCGGACACACUGGAACUGAGACACGGUCCAGACUCCUACGGGAGGCAGCAGUAGGGAAUCUUCCGCAAAGGGCGAAAGCCUGACGGAGCAACGCCGCGGGAGUGAUGAAGGUCUUCGGAUCGGAAAACUCUGUUAUUAGGGAAGAACAUAUGUGUAAGUAACUGUGCACAUCUUGACGGUACCUAAUCAGAAAGCCACGGCUAACUACGUG
RNAcentral lists this ribosomal RNA (497 nucleotides) under uncultured bacterium. RNAcentral's name for it is "partial 16S ribosomal RNA". It matches the Rfam family "Bacterial small subunit ribosomal RNA", at positions 28 to 507 of the family's 1533-position model. The record is from RNAcentral.